Molecule: ribosomal RNA, 870 nt
Filed under: uncultured archaeon
Lineage: Archaea
Description: bacterial SSU rRNA
Rfam family: Archaeal small subunit ribosomal RNA
Source: RNAcentral
UUCCGGUUGAUCCUGCCGGAGGCCAUUGCUAUCGGGGUCCGAUUUAGCCAUGCUAGUCGCACGGGUUCAGACCCGUGGCAAACAGCUCAGUAACACGUGGCCAAACUACCCUAUGGACGUGGACACCCUCGGGAAACUGAGGCUAAUCCACGAUACGGCUCUCACGCUGGAAUGCGGGGAGCCGGAAACGCUCCGGCGCCCUAGGAUGUGGCUGCGGUCGAUUAGGUAGACGGUGGGGUAACGGCCCACCGUGCCCAUAAUCGGUACGGGAUGUGAGAGCAAAUAGCCCGGAGAUGGUAUCUGAGACAAGAUACCAGGCCCUACGGGGCGCAGCAGGCGCGAAACCUUUACACUGCACGCCAGUGCGAUAAGGGGACCCCGAGUGCGAGGGCAUACAGUCCUCGCUUUUGUACACCGUAAGGAGGUGUACGAAUAAGGGCUGGGCAAGACCGGUGCCAGCCGCCGCGGUAAUACCGGCAGCCCGAGUGAUGGCCGCUGUUAUUGGGCCUAAAGCGUCCGUAGCCGGCCGAACAAGUCUGUCGGGAAAUCCAUCCGCCUAACGGAUGGGCGUCCGGCAGAAACUGUUCGGCUUGGGGCCGGAAGAUCCGAGGGGUACGUCUGGGGUAGGAGUGAAAUCCUGUAAUCCUGGACGGACCGCCGGUGGCGAAAGCGCCUCGGAAGGACGGACCCGACGGUGAGGGACGAAAGCUGGGGUCUCGAACCGGAUUAGAUACCCGGGUAGUCCCAGCCGUAAACGAUGAUCGCUAGGUGUGGCACAGGCUACGAGCCUGUGCUGUGCCGUAGGGAAGCCGUGAAGCGAUCCGCCUGGGAAGUACGUCCGCAAGGAUGAAACUUAAAGGAAUUGGCGGG